GUGUUGUAUUAAAGCAGAGAAGGUUAGCACUACCCUCGAUAAAGCCCUUGGGCCUGACAACACACAUACAGUUCAGGCAUUGCCACCCAUUUCGUGGCAUCUAACCAAUGUAGUGC
This is a small nuclear RNA of Fukomys damarensis (Damara mole-rat), 116 nucleotides long. Lineage: Eukaryota; Metazoa; Chordata; Mammalia; Rodentia; Bathyergidae. The record is from Ensembl.